UACGUAGGGUCCGAGCGUUGUCCGGAAUUACCGGGCGUAAAGAGCUCGUAGGUGGUUUGUCGCGUUGUUCGUGAAAACUCACAGCUUAACUGUGGGCGUGCGGGCGAUACGGGCAGACUGGAGUACUGCAGGGGAGACUGGAAUUCCUGGUGUAGCGGUGGAAUGCGCAGAUAUCAGGAGGAACACCGGUGGCGAAGGCGGGUCUCUGGGCAGUAACUGACGCUGAGGAGCGAAAGCGUGGGGAGCGAACAGG
Molecule: ribosomal RNA, 253 nt
Filed under: uncultured bacterium
Lineage: Bacteria
Description: partial 16S ribosomal RNA
Rfam family: Bacterial small subunit ribosomal RNA
Source: RNAcentral